Molecule: long non-coding RNA, 2173 nt
Filed under: Brassica napus (rape)
Lineage: Eukaryota; Viridiplantae; Streptophyta; Magnoliopsida; Brassicales; Brassicaceae
Description: long non-coding RNA (BNAP_LNC006601)
Source: RNAcentral
GAACUUUAGGAAGAUACACAGUAUUGCAAAAGUUGUAGGAACGGUAAUAACGUUGGGAGGAGCUAUGGUAAUGACUUUGUACAAAGGUCCGGCGAUCGAAAUCGUGAAAGCUGCACAUUCUUCCUUCCACGGCGGCUCAACCACAGCCACUGGCCAGCACUGGGUCACCGGAACCUUAGCCAUCAUGGGAAGUAUCUCCACAUGGGCUGCUUUCUUCAUUUUACAGGUAUAACUAGUUAAUUUUUAUUUUUUAGCAAAAAAAAAACUAGUUAAUUAAUGUUUAAAUAAAAAAGAAAUCAACAAACAUGCAUUAUACGGUUUUAUAAAUUAUCAAAAUAAUUUUCUGUUUUCAGUCGUUCACGUUGAAACUUUACCCGGCUGAGCUAUCCCUAGUGACGUUGAUAUGUGGGAUCGGAACGAUCCUAAAUUUUGCCGUUUCGAUGAUAUUUGUCCGUGACUUAAGCGCCUGGAAAAUCGGCAUGGAUUCCGGGACACUCGCAGCCGUUUACUCCGUAAGUUAAUCAUCUAUUAGUCACUGGUUAAUUUUAAUCAAUUCUGUAUAAUAAACCUUAUUAUUUGAUUAAAAAAUACUUAUUAUUAUGUGGGAUAUUUCAGGGAGUGGUUUGUUCAGGCAUCGCGUAUUACAUACAAAGCAUUGUGAUAAAGCAACGUGGCCCUGUGUUUACCACGUCGUUUAGUCCUAUGUGUAUGGUUAUUACUUCAUUCCUCGGUGCCCUUGUUUUGGCUGAGAAAAUCCACCUCGGAAGGUAAUUAAGAUUUCUUUCUAUUAUGUUAAUAACUAAGAUAAGUAUAAUUAACAAGUAAUUAACGUUUUAGAGGGUACUGUUGUGACUAUGCAGUAUAAUUGGAGCAAUUUUCAUCGUCAUUGGACUAUAUAGUGUGGUCUGGGGAAAAAGCAAAGAUGCAGUGAAUCCCUUGGAUGAGAAAAUAGUAGCUCAAGAGCUUCCGAUCACUAAUGUAGUCAAACAGCACGGUCAUGAUCUCUCGGGAGCUCAACCGAACGGUCUUGAUGUCUCGAGUGCACCAACUAACGGUGGGUCUGCAAAUACCUAAAUCAGCCCCGAAGAGAAAAAAAGAAGAUACAAAGACAAAGAUGUGAUUGAAAUUUUGAUAUCUUUCUAUGUUGUUCUGUGUUUUAAUACUUUUUAAAUUUUCUAAAUCGUCCUACCCUUAACUUUAGUAUCUUUACAUAUUUUUAUGUUUUCUCUGCUUUUACUUCUUGUAUUUUGAAAUUUCAAGGAAAAUAAUGAAUGAAUCAUUUGGUAAAAUUUGCGCUUAAAACAAAAACAAUUGUCAAAAUGUUACCCAAAAAACAAUUGUCAAAUCCUAUAGAAUCCAAGAAUCUAGUGUCAAAAUUUGGAUAUUUCUUUUACUAAAAGGUUUUCGUAUUUAAAUAUUUUUGAUUUUUUUUGUAUAUAUGAAAAUAAUUUUAUUUUUUUUUAAAACAAUAUAAAAGCUCAUAAGCCUCUAAUGGGCUCAAAAAAAGCAGAUCUAAACUGGAAAACCCACAAAAAGGUCCAAAUCAAUUAACCUCCAAACCCUUAGCUUCCACUUGAAACAUAUUUGCCGUUGGAAACACGCACUCGCCAAAAAGUUAGGACCGCCAAGGCCACCUGAAAGUAAAAAGAAGACGGAGCACUAGAAAGGACCAGUACAAGCCCACACCUGCAAACGCCCUUAACUUUAGUAUCUUUACAUAUUUUUAUGUUUUCUCUGCUUUUACUUCUUGUAUUUUGAAAUUUCAAGGAAAAUAAUGAAUGAAUCAUUUGGCAAAAUUUGCGCCUAAAACAAAAACAAUUGUCAAAAUGUUACCCAAAAAACAAUUGUCAAAUCCUAUAGAAUCCAAGAAUCUAGUGUCAAAAUUUGGAUAUUUCUUUUACUAAAAGGUUUUCGUAUUUAAAUAUUUUUGAUUUUUUUUAGGAGCUAUGGUAAUGACUUUGUACAAAGGUCCGGCGAUCGAAAUCGUGAAAGCUGCACAUUCUUCCUUCCACGGCGGCUCAACCACAGCCACUGGCCAGCACUGGGUCACCGGAACCUUAGCCAUCAUGGGAAGUAUCUCCACAUGGGCUGCUUUCUUCAUUUUACAGGUAUAACUAGUUAAUUUUUAUUUUUUAGCAAAAAAAAAACUAGUUAAUUAAUGUUUAAAUAAAAA